Molecule: ribosomal RNA, 497 nt
Filed under: uncultured bacterium
Lineage: Bacteria
Description: partial 16S ribosomal RNA
Rfam family: Bacterial small subunit ribosomal RNA
Source: RNAcentral
GAUGAACGCUGGCGGCGUGCCUAAUACAUGCAAGUCGAGCGAAAAGACGAGGAGCUUGCUCCUCUGACGUUAGCGGCGGACGGGUGAGUAACACGUGGAUAACCUACCUAUAAGACUGGGAUAACUUCGGGAAACCGGAGCUAAUACCGGAUAACAUGUUGAACCGCAUGGUUCAACAGUGAAGGACGGUCUUGCUGUCACUUAUAGAUGGAUCCGCGCCGCAUUAGCUAGUUGGUAAGGUAACGGCUUACCAAGGCAACGAUGCGUAGCCGACCUGAGAGGGUGAUCGGCCACACUGGAACUGAGACACGGUCCAGACUCCUACGGGAGGCAGCAGUAGGGAAUCUUCCGCAAUGGGCGAAAGCCCGACGGAGCAACGCCGCGUGAGUGAAGAAGGUCUUCGGAUCGUAAAACUCUGUUAUUAGGGAAGAACAAAUGUGUAAGUAACUAUGCACGUCUUGACGGUACCUAAUCAGAAAGCCACGGCUAACUACGUG